UCACCUGUGGAUCUCAUUAGGAUGCAGGUUCUGAUUGAUUACAGCUGAUGGGGCCUGAGAUUCUGCAUUUUUAACAAAUUCCCAGAUGCUGCUGCU
RNAcentral lists this microRNA precursor (96 nucleotides) under Echinops telfairi (small Madagascar hedgehog). RNAcentral's name for it is "miRNA (ENSETEG00000026472.1)". The record is from RNAcentral. Lineage: Eukaryota; Metazoa; Chordata; Mammalia; Afrosoricida; Tenrecidae.